This 319-nucleotide small nuclear RNA is filed under the name Microtus ochrogaster (prairie vole). Its description in RNAcentral is "7SK RNA (ENSMOCG00000008889.1)". It matches the Rfam family "7SK RNA". Rfam says of the family: 7SK was discovered as an abundant small nuclear RNA in the mid-70s but a possible function has only recently been suggested. Lineage: Eukaryota; Metazoa; Chordata; Mammalia; Rodentia; Cricetidae. The record is from RNAcentral.
UGAUGUGAGAGACCUGGCUGCAGGUUGAUCCUUCAGGCUAGCAGGUGCCUCCUUGCUCCCUCGCUGAUCCUGCAGGCUAGCAGGUGCCUCCUUGCUCCCUCGCUGCUCCUGGAGUAUGCACCCUCCUGAGCUUCCUACAGUCUAAGGGGGUGGCCCGCCCUGAGAAAGGAAGAACUUCCUUUGAAGAGUACAAGGGUAGCUGUGCUCCCGUGCUAGAAUCUUCAAAUAAGCUCGAAAAGUCCACGUGUGAAGGAGUGUAUGGAAGCCGAGCUUCCAGGACUCCAGCAAACAAGGCAUUGCCUGUGGCAAUCCGCCUUCA